Molecule: transfer RNA, 84 nt
Filed under: Candidatus Iainarchaeum sp.
Lineage: Archaea; Nanobdellati; Candidatus Iainarchaeota; Candidatus Iainarchaeia; Candidatus Iainarchaeales; Candidatus Iainarchaeaceae
Description: tRNA-Ser
Rfam family: tRNA
About the family: Transfer RNA (tRNA) molecules are approximately 80 nucleotides in length. Their secondary structure includes four short double-helical elements and three loops (D, anti-codon, and T loops). Further hydrogen bonds mediate the characteristic L-shaped molecular structure. tRNAs have two regions of fundamental functional importance: the anti-codon, which is responsible for specific mRNA codon recognition, and the 3' end, to which the tRNAs corresponding amino acid is attached (by aminoacyl-tRNA synthetases). tRNAs cope with the degeneracy of the genetic code in two manners: having more than one tRNA (with a specific anti-codon) for a particular amino acid; and 'wobble' base-pairing, i.e. permitting non-standard base-pairing at the 3rd anti-codon position.
Source: RNAcentral
GCGGGGGUGGCGGAGUGGUCUAACGCGCACGCCUGGAAAGCGUGUUCCUUCACAGGAGCGCGAGUUCGAAUCUCGUCCUCCGCG